UGAGGAAUAUUGGUCAAUGGGCGGAAGCCUGAACCAGCCAUGCCGCGUGCAGGAAGGAGGCCCUACGGGUUGUAAACUGCUUUUACCCGGGAAGAAACCGCCCCCUGUGGGGGGCGUUGCCGGUACCGGGGGAAAAAGGAACGGCUAACUCCGUGCCAGCAGCCGCGGAAAUACGGAGGAUCCGGGCGUUAUCCGGAAUUACUGGGUUUAAAGGGUGCGUAGGCGGGGCUUUAAGCCGGCGGUGAAAUGCAGCGGCUCAACCGCUGGAAUGCUGUUGGGACUGGGGCUGUUGGAGACGGUCGGGGCGGGUGGAACUCGUGGGGUAGCGGUGAAAUGCAUAGAUAUCACGAGGAACGCCGGUAGCGAAGGCAGCUCGCCGGGCCGGUAUUGACGCUGAGGCACGAAAGCGUGGGGAUCGAACA
Molecule: ribosomal RNA, 422 nt
Filed under: uncultured prokaryote
Description: bacterial SSU rRNA
Rfam family: Bacterial small subunit ribosomal RNA
Source: RNAcentral